Molecule: ribosomal RNA, 422 nt
Filed under: uncultured bacterium
Lineage: Bacteria
Description: bacterial SSU rRNA
Rfam family: Bacterial small subunit ribosomal RNA
Source: RNAcentral
UGAGGAAUAUUGGGCAAUGCCCGCAAGGGUGACCCAGCAACGCCGCGUGGAGGAUGAAUGUCGUAAGAUUGUAAACUCCUGUUAGAGGGGAAGAAUAGUACCGGUUGGACCGGUAUAUGACUGUACCCUCAGAGAAAGCCCCGGCUAACUACGUGCCAGCAGCCGCGGUAAUACGUAGGGGGCAAGCGUUGUCCGGAUUUACUGGGUGUAAAGGGCGCGCAGGCGGGAUAAAAAGUCAGUGGUGAAAUCCUACAGCUUAACUGUAGAACUGCAUUUGAUACUUUUAUUCUUGAGUUCGGGAGAGAGAGACAGAAUUCCAGGUGUAGUGGUGAAAUACGUAGAUAUCUGGAAGAACACCAGUUGCGAAGGCGGUCUCUUGGUCCGACACUGACGCUGAGGCGCGAAAGCGUGGGGAGCAAACA